GAUGAACGCUGGCGGCGUGCCUAAUACAUGCAAGUCGAGCGAACAGACGAGGAGCUUGCUCGUCGGACGUUAGCGGAGGGCGGGUGAGAAACACGUGGAUAACCUACUUAUAUGACUGGGAUAUCUACGGGAAACCGGAGCUAAUACGGGAGAAUAUACUGAACCGCGGGGGUCAAUAGUGAAAGUCGGUUGUGCGGUCACUUCUAGAUGGAUACGGGCUGCAUUAGGUAGUUGGUAAGGUAACGGCUUACCAAGGCAAGGAUGCGUAGCCGACCUGAGAGGGUGAUCGGCCACCUUGGAACGUGGACACGGUCCAGACGCCUGCGGGAGGCAGCAGUAGGGAAUGUUACGCAAUGGGCGAGAACCUGACGGAGCAACGCCGCGUGAGUGAUGAAGGUCUUCGGAUCGUAAAACUCUGUUAUUAGGGAAGAACAAAUGUGUAAGUAACUAUGCACGUCUUGACGGUACCUAGUCAGAAAGCCACGGCUAACUACGUG
Molecule: ribosomal RNA, 497 nt
Filed under: uncultured bacterium
Lineage: Bacteria
Description: partial 16S ribosomal RNA
Rfam family: Bacterial small subunit ribosomal RNA
Source: RNAcentral